UUGCCCGAUGAUUAUAAAAAGACGCGAAAGAGGACUUGAAGCUGGAUCUUUUCCUUUUUUUCUCUUCUAUAUAUUCUUUAAUUCUUCUCUACUUCCCCCCCCCCCUUUCUCUGCUUCUUUUCUCUCUUUGGAUAUCCAGCGUCCUAUGAGCGAAGAUUAUGAGAUAUGAGGGCAA
Phodopus roborovskii (desert hamster) is the source of this 175-nucleotide small nucleolar RNA. RefSeq annotates it as small nucleolar RNA SNORD97. The record is from RefSeq and is a predicted model, not a curated record. The transcript has a single exon. Lineage: Eukaryota; Metazoa; Chordata; Mammalia; Rodentia; Cricetidae.